RNAcentral lists this transfer RNA (18 nucleotides) under Hemiphyllodactylus linnwayensis. Its description in RNAcentral is "partial tRNA-Tyr". Lineage: Eukaryota; Metazoa; Chordata; Lepidosauria; Squamata; Gekkonidae. The record is from RNAcentral.
GGUGCCCCCACUACCAAG